This 310-nucleotide ribosomal RNA is filed under the name uncultured bacterium. Its description in RNAcentral is "bacterial SSU rRNA". It matches the Rfam family "Bacterial small subunit ribosomal RNA", at positions 51 to 363 of the family's 1533-position model. The record is from RNAcentral.
ACACAUGCAGUCGAGGGGUAGAAUUAGCUUGCUAAUUUGAGGCCGGCGCACGGGUGCGUAACGCGUAUGCAAUCUGCCUUGUACUGAGGGAUAGCCCAGAGAAAUUUGGAUUAAUACCUCAUAGCAUUAUGAAAUCGCAUGGUUUUAUAAUUAAAGUUCCAACGGUACAAGAUGAGCAUGCGUCCCAUUAGUUAGUUGGUAAGGUAACGGCUUACCAAGACGAUGAUGGGUAGGGGUCCUGAGAGGGAGAUCCCCCACACUGGUACUGAGACACGGACCAGACUCCUACGGGAGGCAGCAGUGAGGAAUA